This 468-nucleotide ribosomal RNA is filed under the name uncultured bacterium. Its description in RNAcentral is "partial 16S ribosomal RNA". It matches the Rfam family "Bacterial small subunit ribosomal RNA", at positions 28 to 507 of the family's 1533-position model. The record is from RNAcentral.
GACGAACGCUGGCGGCGUGCUUAACACAUGCAAGUCGAACGGAAAGGCCCUGCUUUUGUGGGGUGCUCGAGUGGCGAACGGGUGAGUAACACGUGAGUAACCUGCCCUUGACUUUGGGAUAACUUCAGGAAACUGGGGCUAAUACCGGAUAGGAGCUCCUGCUGCGUGGUGGGGGUUGGAAAGUUUCGGCGGUUGGGGAUGGACUCGCGGCUUAUCAGCUUGUUGGUGGGGUAGUGGCUUACCAAGGCUUUGACGGGUAGCCGGCCUGAGAGGGUGACCGGCCACCUUACGACUGCGAGACGGACCAGACUCCUACGGGAGGCAGCAGUGGGGAAUAUUGCACAAUGGGCCGAAGCCUGAUGCAGCAACGCCGCGUGCGGGAUGACGGCCUUCGGGUUGUAAACCGCUUUCGCCUGUGACGAAGCGUGAGUGACGGUACUGGGUAAAGAAGCACCGGCUAACUACGUG